This 539-nucleotide ribosomal RNA is filed under the name Bifidobacterium animalis subsp. lactis. RNAcentral's name for it is "bacterial SSU rRNA". It matches the Rfam family "Bacterial small subunit ribosomal RNA", at positions 161 to 702 of the family's 1533-position model. Lineage: Bacteria; Bacillati; Actinomycetota; Actinomycetes; Bifidobacteriales; Bifidobacteriaceae. The record is from RNAcentral.
UGGUAAUACCGGAUGCUCCGCUCCAUCGCAUGGUGGGGUGGGAAAUGCUUUUGCGGCAUGGGAUGGGGUCGCGUCCUAUCAGCUUGUUGGCGGGGUGAUGGCCCACCAAGGCGUUGACGGGUAGCCGGCCUGAGAGGGUGACCGGCCACAUUGGGACUGAGAUACGGCCCAGACUCCUACGGGAGGCAGCAGUGGGGAAUAUUGCACAAUGGGCGCAAGCCUGAUGCAGCGACGCCGCGUGCGGGAUGGAGGCCUUCGGGUUGUAAACCGCUUUUGUUCAAGGGCAAGGCACGGUUUCGGCCGUGUUGAGUGGAUUGUUCGAAUAAGCACCGGCUAACUACGUGCCAGCAGCCGCGGUAAUACGUAGGGUGCGAGCGUUAUCCGGAUUUAUUGGGCGUAAAGGGCUCGUAGGCGGUUCGUCGCGUCCGGUGUGAAAGUCCAUCGCCUAACGGUGGAUCUGCGCCGGGUACGGGCGGGCUGGAGUGCGGUAGGGGAGACUGGAAUUCCCGGUGUAACGGUGGAAUGUGUAGAUAUCGGAA